RNAcentral lists this unclassified non-coding RNA (187 nucleotides) under plant metagenome. RNAcentral describes it as "partial contains small subunit ribosomal RNA and internal transcribed spacer 1". The stretch from base 1 to 46 matches the Rfam family "Eukaryotic small subunit ribosomal RNA", at positions 1786 to 1831 of the family's 1831-position model. The record is from RNAcentral.
AAGUCGUAACAAGGUUUCCGUAGGUGAACCUGCGGAAGGAUCAUUAAUGAAUACAAGGAUGCUCUUUUUAGAGGUCCGACUCUUCAUUUCCACACCCUGUGCACAAACUACAUUUACACCCAUUUUUAAACUCUGUCAGUAUAAAGAAUGUCAAUAGUCUCUUGAUUGAGCAUAUAACAAAUAAAAU